RNAcentral lists this unclassified non-coding RNA (334 nucleotides) under Hevea brasiliensis (rubber tree). The record is from RNAcentral. Lineage: Eukaryota; Viridiplantae; Streptophyta; Magnoliopsida; Malpighiales; Euphorbiaceae.
CGUCAAUGGAAGUUGGGUUAGUGAACUGCUUUAAACAGAAGUCCUUUUGUAUGUGCUUUGUGGUUAAUUUAUCUUUCUGUCUUUUCCUCUUUAUUUUAGUCGCAUAUAUGAGCAGAGUGGUCAGCAAAUUUUGUUACUUGAGCAUUUCUUGUUCUGGCGUAUGCUUUAGUUGCUAUGGUUGCAGCUGUAUUCUAAUUUUAUUUUAUUUUAUUGAUUAACCAGUGUUGAUUUUUUGCUGAACAGUCAAUUUUCGGCCUAGAUUUAUGUUGAUGUUCACAUAAAGACAUUAAACUAACCAAGAUUUGUAUUAUGAUAUCCCCUUGCCUCCUUUUUU